CUAAAAUGUAGAUAAUAACUAACUAACUCCGCUGGCGCAGCGACUCAAAGUGGAUCUUGGCCUCCGAAAUGAGCUUCCGCCAUUGAGCCCUGUCCUGCGCUACCUCCUGCCAGUUACUGACUUAAAGGUCACGCAGGUCAGCCUCAACAGCAUCUCUCCAGCGAUACCUGGGGCGUCCAACAGGACGAUGGCCUGUUGGACGGCCCUUAUACGCUCUUUUUACCCCGCGAUCCUCUCCCAUUCUUUCCACGUGGCCCAGCCAACGGAGUCGGUGAGCCUUUGUUUCUCCGAUUAUAUUGGGUUGGGCCACCAGUUCUUCAAUUUCGGCAUUCUU
This is a long non-coding RNA of Aricia agestis (brown argus), 334 nucleotides long. RefSeq lists it as uncharacterized. The transcript has 3 exons. The record is from RefSeq and is a predicted model, not a curated record. Lineage: Eukaryota; Metazoa; Arthropoda; Insecta; Lepidoptera; Lycaenidae.